CCUACGGGAGGCAGCAGUGGGGAAUAUUGGACAAUGGGCGAAAGCCUGAUCCAGCAAUGCCGCGUGAGUGAUGAAGGCCUAGGGUUGUAAAGCUCUUUCGGGUGGGAGGCGGUACCACCAGAAGAAGCCCCGGCUAACUUCGUGCCAGCAGCCGCGGUAAUACGAAGGGGGCUAGCGUUGUUCGGAAUUACUGGGCGUAAAGCGCACGCAGGCGGCCUUAAAUUAGAAGUGAAAGCCUUGGGCUUAACCUGAGAAUUGCUUUUAAGACUGGAGCUAGAAUCCAGAAGAGGUAGUGGAAUUCCGAGUGUAGAGGUGAAAUUCGUAGAUAUUCGGAAGAACACCAGUGGCGAAGGCGACUACCUGGUCUGGAUUGACGCUCAUGUGCGAAAGCGUGGGGAGCAAACAGGAUUAGAUACCCUUGUAGUC
This 426-nucleotide ribosomal RNA is filed under the name uncultured bacterium. RNAcentral's name for it is "partial 16S ribosomal RNA". It matches the Rfam family "Bacterial small subunit ribosomal RNA", at positions 338 to 795 of the family's 1533-position model. The record is from RNAcentral.